CCUACGGGCGGCAGCAGUGAGGAAUAUUGGUCAAUGGGCGCGAGCCUGAACCAGCCAAGUCGCGUGAGGGAUGACGGUCCUACGGAUUGUAAACCUCUUUUGCCGGGGAGCAAGCGUGCGUUCGUGAACGCGCGUCGAGAGUACCCGGAGCAAAAGCAUCGGCUAACUCCGUGCCAGCCGCCGCGGUAAUACGGAGGAUGCGAGCGUUAUCGGGAUGUAUUGGGUUUAAAGGGUGCGUAGGCGGGAUGCCAAGUCAGCGGGAAAAGUGCGGUGCUAAACGCCGUCGGGCCGUUGAAACUGGCGUACUUGAGUGGGCGAGAAGUAGGCGGAAUGCGUGGUGUAGCGGUGAAAUGCAUAGAUA
This 361-nucleotide ribosomal RNA is filed under the name uncultured bacterium. RNAcentral's name for it is "partial 16S ribosomal RNA". It matches the Rfam family "Bacterial small subunit ribosomal RNA", at positions 338 to 696 of the family's 1533-position model. The record is from RNAcentral.